CCUACGGGUGGCAGCAGUGGGGAAUAUUGGACAAUGGGGGGAACCCUGAUCCAGCCAUGCCGCGUGUGUGAAGAAGGCCCUCGGGUUGUAAAGCACUUUCAGUGAGGAAGAACGCCUGGUGGUUAAUACCCAUCAGGAAAGACAUCACCCAAAGAAGAAGCACCGGCUAACUCCGUGCCAGCAGCCGCGGUAAUACGGAGGGUGCGAGCGUUAAUCGGAAUUACUGGGCGUAAAGCGCGCGUAGGUGGCUUGAUAAGCCGGUUGUGAAAGCCCCGGGCUCAACCUGGGAACGGCAUCCGGAACUGUCAAGCUAGAGUGCAGGAGAGGAAGGUAGAAUUCCCGGUGUAGCGGUGAAAUGCGUAGAGAUCGGGAGGAAUACCAGUGGCGAAGGCGGCCUUCUGGACUGACACUGACACUGAGGUGCGAAAGCGUGGGUAGCAAACAGGAUUAGAUACCCCUGUAGUC
Molecule: ribosomal RNA, 465 nt
Filed under: Vreelandella stevensii
Lineage: Bacteria; Pseudomonadati; Pseudomonadota; Gammaproteobacteria; Oceanospirillales; Halomonadaceae
Description: partial 16S ribosomal RNA
Rfam family: Bacterial small subunit ribosomal RNA
Source: RNAcentral